Erigeron canadensis is the source of this 356-nucleotide long non-coding RNA. RefSeq lists it as uncharacterized. The record is from RefSeq and is a predicted model, not a curated record. Lineage: Eukaryota; Viridiplantae; Streptophyta; Magnoliopsida; Asterales; Asteraceae. The transcript has 3 exons.
GGAAUAUAUCAAGGUGAUACAAGAGAUCAACCAAGUUUUACUUAAUAGCUAACGGUGAUCAUAAGGUGAGACAAGUGGAGCCCGAAAAGAUCCAUGGAAGGGUAUAGCUUAGCACUAGCGGUGUUGCUCGUUGGAUGGGUAACGAGUAUCUCUUAUGCCUUCCUUUGAUACUAGUUACGCCCUUUUUGUGCAAAUUAUAAAGUUGCAGUUUAAACCAGUUUGUAAACCAACUGUUGAAACAUAUUAUGGUAAAUAUAUAAGAUCAUAUUGUAAGUAACUAAAUAUGUAGUUUAUAUCAGCUGUAGUCUGGUUAUACAGAUCCUGGUCAUGAUCCCGAGCACCUAAAAAGGGUCAUG